UACGUAGGGUGCAAGCGUUGUCCGGAAUUAUUGGGCGUAAAGAGCUCGUAGGCGGUUUGUCGCGUCGAAUGUGAAAACCCGGGGCUCAACCCCGGGCCUGCAUUCGAUACGGGCAGACUAGAGUUCGGUAGGGGAGUCUGGAAUUCCUGGUGUAGCGGUGAAAUGCGCAGAUAUCAGGAGGAACACCGGUGGCGAAGGCGGGACUCUGGGCCGAUACUGACGCUGAGGCGCGAAAGCGUGGGGAGCGAACAGG
Molecule: ribosomal RNA, 253 nt
Filed under: uncultured bacterium
Lineage: Bacteria
Description: partial 16S ribosomal RNA
Rfam family: Bacterial small subunit ribosomal RNA
Source: RNAcentral